UUAAGCGACUAAGCGUACACGGUGGAUGCCCUGGCAGUCAGAGGCGAUGAAGGACGUGCUAAUCUGCGAAAAGCGCCGGCGAGGUGAUAUGAACCUUUGACCCGGCGAUGUCCGAAUGGGGAAACCCAGUGCAAUCCGUUGCACUAUCGUUAACUGAAUACAUAGGUUAACGAGGCGAACCGGGGGAACUGAAACAUCUAAGUACCCCGAGGAAAAGAAAUCAACCGAGAUUCCCCCAGUAGCGGCGAGCGAACGGGGAGCAGCCCGGAGUCUGAAUCAGCUUGUGUGUUAGUGGAACGGUCUGGAAAGUCCGACGGUACAGGGUGAUAGUCCCGUACACGAAAGCACACUUGCUGUGAACUCGAAGAGUAGGGCGGGACACGUGGUAUCCUGUCUGAAUAUGGGGGGACCAUCCUCCAAGGCUAAAUACUCCUGACUGACCGAUAGUGAACCAGUACCGUGAGGGAAAGGCGAAAAGAACCCCGGCGAGGGGAGUGAAAAAGAACCUGAAACCGUGUACGUACAAGCAGUGGGAGCCUCUUUAUGGGGUGACUGCGUACCUUUUGUAUAAUGGGUCAGCGACUUAUAUUCUGUAGCAAGGUUAACCGUAUAGGGGAGCCGAAGGGAAACCGAGUCUUAACUGGGCGUUAAGUUGCAGGGUAUAGACCCGAAACCCGGUGAUCUAGCCAUGGGCAGGUUGAAGGUUGGGUAACACUAACUGGAGGACCGAACCGACUAAUGUUGAAAAAUUAGCGGAUGACCUGUGGCUGGGGGUGAAAGGCCAAUCAAACCGGGAGAUAGCUGGUUCUCCCCGAAAGCUAUUUAGGUAGCGCCUCGUGAACUCAUCUUCGGGGGUAGAGCACUGUUUCGGCUAGGGGGCCAUCCCGGCUUACCAACCCGAUGCAAACUACGAAUACCGAAGAAUGUUAUCACGGGAGACACACGGCGGGUGCUAACGUCCGUCGUGAAGAGGGAAACAACCCAGACCGCCAGCUAAGGUCCCAAAGUCAUGGUUAAGUGGGAAACGAUGUGGGAAGGCACAGACAGCCAGGAUGUUGGCUUAGAAGCAGCCAUCAUUUAAAGAAAGCGUAAUAGCUCACUGGUCGAGUCGGCCUGCGCGGAAGAUGUAACGGGGCUAAACCAUGCACCGAAGCUGCGGCAGCGACACUAUGUGUUGUUGGGUAGGGGAGCGUUCUGUAAGCCGUUGAAGGUGUGCUGUGAGGCAUGCUGGAGGUAUCAGAAGUGCGAAUGCUGACAUAAGUAACGAUAAAGCGGGUGAAAAGCCCGCUCGCCGGAAGACCAAGGGUUCCUGUCCAACGUUAAUCGGGGCAGGGUGAGUCGACCCCUAAGGCGAGGCCGAAAGGCGUAGUCGAUGGGAAACAGGUUAAUAUUCCUGUACUUGGUGUUACUGCGAAGGGGGGACGGAGAAGGCUAUGUCAGCCGGGCGACGGUUGUCCCGGUUUAAGCAUGUAGGCGGAGGUUCCAGGUAAAUCCGGUACCUUAUUAACGCUGAGGUGUGAUGACGAGGCACUACGGUGCUGAAGUGAUAAAUGCCCUGCUUCCAGGAAAAGCCUCUAAGCAUCAGGUAACACGAAAUCGUACCCCAAACCGACACAGGUGGUCAGGUAGAGAAUACCAAGGCGCUUGAGAGAACUCGGGUGAAGGAACUAGGCAAAAUGGUGCCGUAACUUCGGGAGAAGGCACGCUGAUGUGUAGGUGAAGCCCCUGCGGGUGGAGCUGAAAUCAGUCGAAGAUACCAGCUGGCUGCAACUGUUUAUUAAAAACACAGCACUGUGCAAACACGAAAGUGGACGUAUACGGUGUGACGCCUGCCCGGUGCCGGAAGGUUAAUUGAUGGGGUUAGCGGCAACGCGAAGCUCUUGAUCGAAGCCCCGGUAAACGGCGGCCGUAACUAUAACGGUCCUAAGGUAGCGAAAUUCCUUGUCGGGUAAGUUCCGACCUGCACGAAUGGCGUAAUGAUGGCCAGGCUGUCUCCACCCGAGACUCAGUGAAAUUGAACUCGCUGUGAAGAUGCAGUGUACCCGCGGCAAGACGGAAAGACCCCGUGAACCUUUACUAUAGCUUGACACUGAACACUGGUCCUUGAUGUGUAGGAUAGGUGGGAGGCUUUGAAGCGUGGACGCCAGUCUGCGUGGAGCCG
This 2161-nucleotide ribosomal RNA is filed under the name Enterobacter cloacae. Its description in RNAcentral is "bacterial LSU rRNA". It matches the Rfam family "Bacterial large subunit ribosomal RNA", at positions 1 to 2188 of the family's 2925-position model. RNAcentral also lists the same sequence under 1 other name. The record is from RNAcentral. Lineage: Bacteria; Pseudomonadati; Pseudomonadota; Gammaproteobacteria; Enterobacterales; Enterobacteriaceae.